This 465-nucleotide ribosomal RNA is filed under the name uncultured Klebsiella sp. Its description in RNAcentral is "bacterial SSU rRNA". It matches the Rfam family "Bacterial small subunit ribosomal RNA", at positions 338 to 795 of the family's 1533-position model. Lineage: Bacteria; Pseudomonadati; Pseudomonadota; Gammaproteobacteria; Enterobacterales; Enterobacteriaceae. The record is from RNAcentral.
CCUACGGGAGGCAGCAGUGGGGAAUAUUGCACAAUGGGCGCAAGCCUGAUGCAGCCAUGCCGCGUGUGUGAAGAAGGCCUUCGGGUUGUAAAGCACUUUCAGCGGGGAGGAAGGCGGUGAGGUUAAUAACCUCAUCGAUUGACGUCACCCGCAGAAGAAGCACCGGCUAACUCCGUGCCAGCAGCCGCGGUAAUACGGAGGGUGCAAGCGUUAAUCGGAAUUACUGGGCGUAAAGCGCACGCAGGCGGUCUGUCAAGUCGGAUGUGAAAUCCCCGGGCUCAACCUGGGAACUGCAUUCGAAACUGGCAGGCUAGAGUCUUGUAGAGGGGGGUAGAAUUCCAGGUGUAGCGGUGAAAUGCGUAGAGAUCUGGAGGAAUACCGGUGGCGAAGGCGGCCCCCUGGACAAAGACUGACGCUCAGGUGCGAAAGCGUGGGGAGCAAACAGGAUUAGAUACCCGGGUAGUC